RNAcentral lists this ribosomal RNA (442 nucleotides) under uncultured bacterium. RNAcentral describes it as "partial 16S ribosomal RNA". It matches the Rfam family "Bacterial small subunit ribosomal RNA", at positions 338 to 795 of the family's 1533-position model. The record is from RNAcentral.
CCUACGGGUGGCAGCAGUGGGGAAUAUUGGGCAAUGGGCGCAAGCCUGACCCAGCAACGCCGCGUGAAGGAAGAAGGCUUUCGGGUUGUAAACUUCUUUUGUCAGGGAAGAGUAGAAGACGGUACCUGACGAAUAAGCCACGGCUAACUACGUGCCAGCAGCCGCGGUAAUACGUAGGUGGCAAGCGUUGUCCGGAUUUACUGGGUGUAAAGGGCGUGUAGCCGGGUUGACAAGUCAGAUGUGAAAUCCUGCGGCUUAACCGCAGAACUGCAUUUGAAACUGUUGAUCUUGAGUACUGGAGAGGCAGACGGAAUUCCUAGUGUAGCGGUGAAAUGCGUAGAUAUUAGGAGGAACACCAGUGGCGAAGGCAGCAUACCGGCGCUCAACUGACGCUGAGGCACGAAAGCGUGGGGAUCGAACAGGAUUAGAUACCCGAGUAGUC